AUUGAACGCUGGCGGAAUGCUUUACACAUGCAAGUCGAACGGCAGCACGGACUUCGGUCUGGUGGCGAGUGGCGAACGGGUGAGUAAUAUAUCGGAACGUAUCCAAUAAUGGGGGAUAACUAAUCGAAAGGUUGGCUAAUACCGCAUACGCCCUACGGGGAAAGCUAGGGACCUUCGGCCUGGCGUUAAUGGAGCGGCUGAUAUCUGAUUAGCUAGUUGGUGAGGUAAAGGCUCACCAAGGCGACGAUCAGUAGCUGGUCUGAGAGGACGACCAGCCACACUGGAACUGAGACACGGUCCAGACUCCUACGGGAGGCAGCAGUUGGGGAAUUUUGGACAAUGGGCGCAAGCCUGAUCCAGCCAUUCCGCGUGAGUGAAG
RNAcentral lists this ribosomal RNA (379 nucleotides) under uncultured bacterium. RNAcentral's name for it is "bacterial SSU rRNA". It matches the Rfam family "Bacterial small subunit ribosomal RNA", at positions 30 to 410 of the family's 1533-position model. The record is from RNAcentral.